GGGCCCGCACAAGCGGUGGAGUAUGUGGUUUAAUUCGAUGCAACGCGAAGAACCUUACCAGGGUUUGACAUCCUGCGAAUCUCUUGGAAACAGGAGAGUGCCUUCGGGAACGCAGUGACAGGUGGUGCAUGGCUGUCGUCAGCUCGUGUCGUGAGAUGUUGGGUUAAGUCCCGCAACGAGCGCAACCCACGUCUUUAGUUGCCAGCAUUUAGUUGGGCACUCUAGAGAGACUGCCGGUGAUAAACCGGAGGAAGGUGUGGAUGACGUCAAGUCAUCAUGCCCCUUACAUCCUGGGCUACACACGUACUACAAUGCUACGGACAAAGGGCAGCAAGUUCGCGAGGUGGAGCUAAUCUCACAAAGCUUGUCGUAGUCCGGAUUGGAGUCUGCAACUCGACUCCAUGAAGUCGGAAUCGCUAGUAAUCG
RNAcentral lists this ribosomal RNA (426 nucleotides) under uncultured bacterium. RNAcentral describes it as "bacterial SSU rRNA". It matches the Rfam family "Bacterial small subunit ribosomal RNA", at positions 917 to 1344 of the family's 1533-position model. The record is from RNAcentral.